Ziziphus jujuba (common jujube) is the source of this 467-nucleotide long non-coding RNA. RefSeq lists it as uncharacterized. Lineage: Eukaryota; Viridiplantae; Streptophyta; Magnoliopsida; Rosales; Rhamnaceae. The transcript has 3 exons. The record is from RefSeq and is a predicted model, not a curated record.
AAUGAUGUGGAUAGGUAUCUGGCCGACUCUUGUGAAUCUGGUUUAAUUAAGGAUUUUGAUAUCUUAAAUUGGUGGAGGGUUAAUGGAGAGAAAUACCCUGUGUUAGAGAAGAUUGCAAAGGAUGUCUACGCCAUUCAAGUCUCCACUAUGGCUUCCGAGAGUGCUUUUAGCAAUGGAGGUAGGAUACUUGAUCCUUUUAGGAGCUCUUUGACUGCUAAAAUGGUGGAGGCUUUGAUAUGUUGUCAAAAUUGGCUUAAUUCUUCUCCAAGUUUUGACAGAUUUUUUUUAGAAGAGAUGGAGUAUUAUGAAAGUUUAGAUGCAGACCUAUGCCAAAGCCAAACAGUAGCAGUGAGUCCAGAUAGCAGCAACAAAAAUGAUUGAUGGUGCGUUGAGUGGAAUCAGUGGAUGUACUUGAAACUUGAAAGCUUGUUUUGUAGCAGUGGCAGUGAAGGAUUUGGCAGCUCUAA